AACAAGGCAAGCAGGAUGGAAGUGAGGGAUGCCAAUGCUGCAAUGCUGAGCAAUUAUGAGGUCUAUCAGCUCCUGACAGACCUGAAAGAAAAAAGAAAGGAGACCGUUAAAAAUAAGCACAGCGCCGGGCAGCAGAAUCUCAACACCAUCAUGUAUGAGACCCUGAAGUACCUCUCCAAUACGCCGUGUGUUCAUCAGAAUCCAGAGAAUGUGAAGGAGUUCCUCGCUGCCAUGCUGCCUCACAAGCUCACUAAAGCUGAAAAGCUGCAGCUCCUUAACCACAGACCCCAGACUGCUGUUGAGAUCCAACUGAUGGUAGAAGAGAGUGAAGAAAGACUGACAGAAGAACAGAUUGAUGAACUGAUACAGAAAGUCACAGACAUCCUGCCUGGUGACCCUCAGAAAGAAGACGGUGAAUCUGCCGACCCUGUGAUGGAGACAGACCAGUAGCAUCAGCCCAUCAGCAGAUUUUUUUUUUUUUUUUUUUUUUUUUAAAUGCUUUCAUUCCCAAACACAAGAAACUGAUUUCAGAUUUGUUGACAGUGCUAAUACUUUAGUAUACUUUUGAUCUUCAUUAUAUUAUUAUAAAAUAUAUUCUCUUUAGAACAUAUUAAUGAAAAUGUCAGGCAUAGGUAAAUUUAGAGCCAAAAGUGAUGUCUAUAAAAGUGUGUAUUUAUUUAACCUAUUGUAUAUAUUGUACAGGCUCAUGAUAAAAACAAAAAACCACAUCUUUGUCAGCAUUUUUUUUUCUUCUUUUUUUUCAAACCCAUUUGUAGUUGCAUUGAUCUUUCAGAGGGGAAGUAUGUAAUCUUUAGGAGUCAAGACAAUCUCACUUCCUCCUUAAAAUCCUUCCUGUAUUGUUUCUCUUCAAUUUGGUUUAUUAUUAUAAUGUAUUAUUGACCAUUUAAGGUGCGAACUGAGAGAGAUUUAAGUGAUUUAUCAUUUGUCAGUCUCUACUAACCUGUGUGAAUAUGAGAUAUCUGCAUGACUGCUUCAAAUUUCUACUAAGCUCUUAUAACAAGACUUUUAUCCAUAAAGUUGCUUAAUGUGAUGCUUUUGUAAUUCAAUUGUCUCAAAAUCGAAUCGUAAAUAGACGUUUUUAUCGUCUAUUUGAUCGUAAAUAGACUCAUUUCAGCCCCUCACAAACAACAGGAGGACAGUGAACUUGCAGUUCGUUAUUUUUUAAUAACUCUGACGACCAUAUGUAUGAUUUUAUUGACUGAAAUAUAUAUUUUCAUUGACAUAAUUCCACUGAGGAGAAAAGAGACUGAUAAACGUCGACAGGAGUUUGAUUUAUGACAGCAAUGCCAUGUCAUACAGAGAAAGCCAAUGAAAACAUUCUUAUUGGCAAUAGACGUUUGCUGUAACCAAUGAAAUUUGAGAGUUGCUCUGUAGCGCUGUGGUAACUGGUAUGAAUUUAAAACCUCUACACUUGUAAAUCAGGUUUUCGCUGGAAUCGAACUCGUUUGACAGUGAAUCACUCCUCACAUUGAUGCAUGAGAAAUGUGUUCGCGGUGUGAGACUGUCUCUCUCAACGUCAGAGCUUCCUAGCUCCCUUCACACGAUCUUCACGUCUGCAUUUCAUCAGAGAGACGUGAUUCUGGAGAAUGUAGGAUUCGAGGAGUUGUACUUUCUGUACGGGUGGAGCUGUCAACUGAUCAAGUAGUCAAGCCGGUGAAUACGGAAGCUCUGUCUAAAUGGGUGGGCAAGAUCCCUGCUGAUGUGGUGAAUGAUAUGGCCAACCUUGCCCCCAUGUUAAGUCGCUUAGGUUAUGACCCUCUGGCUAACCCGCCAAAUUACAACAAGCCUGAUUUCUUAUUUCUGAACAACACAAAAAUAGUGAAGUUAGUCCAAAAUUAAAAGGCCACCUGUGGAUACAACCUGGGAAUACUUGGAAGCAAUAAACAUUGUGCAUUUUAUGAGCACACAAAGCCUCUACUUGAAUUAACAACAUGUAGGAUGACAAAACAGAGCCACAAGCCCUAUUGUUGCUUAUGGCAAGAGUUUCAUAAAGUGAUCAAAUGUUUUAAAAUCUAGUUUUAAUGAUGUAUUGUAAGUUGUUUUUCAAUUAAAUUCACUUUAGAUGUUUUUUGUAUAGAUGAUGCUAUGGUGUUGCUAAUAAUGUCAGUCUAACGACUGUAUCGUGGUUGUCUUUUUAUUAUUUUUGUAAGUGCUAAUGCAUGCGUGUCUUUGCAAAUGUGUCCAAAUGAGUCUGAUUAUCACACAGGAAACUAUGCCUGUUGAAAGAGGAAGUCAACUGUUACACAGAAUUACCACUUUUUGUUUUGUUCUCUUUGGACUGUAGGAGUACAAAGGAAGUUUAGACAUGUUUCUCAAGUUAAGCUUUCAAAGACAAUCUCAUUUUGCUGUAUGGCUUUUAUUAUGAAUAUAUGACUUGCAUAAUGAUAAAUGUGGUCCAGAUAUGUAAGUGUGUAUCUGCAGGUCAGAGUAAUGAGGGUGUCUCGAAGUUGUGAAGGGUGCAAGGUAGAGUUAGGGGUUUGGCACAUAUGUUUCUCCAAACUGCAGCUAUUCCUGUCUCUAAAUAUGAAGGACUUUUUGAUCUCUAUGUGGAUGAACUCUCAGUCCUCAACAUGCUUUCAUAAUAAAAGUCCAGCAACAUUGGACCAGUCAGUCUCAUCAUGUCACUUUUUGAUGCUUGUUGUAACAUGUACUUAUUGUUACAUAAAAAACAUAUUUAUUAAACGCUGUGUGUACCUGUG
Megalobrama amblycephala (Wuchang bream) is the source of this 2720-nucleotide RNA transcript. It is a transcript of the gene named calcitonin gene-related peptide-receptor component protein, with no coding region annotated. The record is from RefSeq and is a predicted model, not a curated record. Lineage: Eukaryota; Metazoa; Chordata; Actinopteri; Cypriniformes; Xenocyprididae. The transcript has 7 exons.